CCCAACCCCUGUGAACAUACCACUUGUUGCCUCGGCGGAUCAGCCCGCUCCCGGUAAAACGGGACGGCCCGCCAGAGGACCCCUAAACUCUGUUUCUAUAUGUAACUUCUGAGUAAAACCAUAAAUAAAUCAAAACUUUCAACAACGGAUCUCUUGGUUCUGGCAUCGAUGAAGAACGCAGCAAAAUGCGAUAAGUAAUGUGAAUUGCAGAAUUCAGUGAAUCAUCGAAUCUUUGAACGCACAUUGCGCCCGCCAGUAUUCUGGCGGGCAUGCCUGUUCGAGCGUCAUUUCAACCCUCAAGCACAGCUUGGUGUUGGGACUCGCGUUAAUUCGCGUUCCUCAAAUUGAUUGGCGGUCACGUCGAGCUUCCAUAGCGUAGUAGUAAAACCCUCGUUACUGGUAAUCGUCGCGGCCACGCCGUUAAACCCCAACUUCUGAAUGUUGACCUCGGAUCAGGUAGGAAUACCCGCUGAACUUAAG
This 480-nucleotide ribosomal RNA is filed under the name Fusarium oxysporum. Its description in RNAcentral is "eukaryotic LSU rRNA". The stretch from base 134 to 287 matches the Rfam family "5.8S ribosomal RNA". The record is from RNAcentral. Lineage: Eukaryota; Fungi; Ascomycota; Sordariomycetes; Hypocreales; Nectriaceae.